GCAGUGGUGGUUGAGUGGUUAACGCUUUGGGUUACGAAUCCGAAGGUUGGGGGUUCAAGCCCCAGCAGCGUCA
Pangasianodon gigas (Mekong giant catfish) is the source of this 73-nucleotide non-coding RNA. Lineage: Eukaryota; Metazoa; Chordata; Actinopteri; Siluriformes; Pangasiidae. The record is from the annotation of a GenBank genome assembly.